AACGCACCUUGCGCCCAUUGGCAUUCCACUGGGCACGCCUGUUUGAGUGUCACGUCAACCAUCGCCCGCAAUGAUUGUCAUGAUCGUCGCGGCGCGGAUUUGGACGCUGCCGUCGUUGGCUCGUCUCGAAAUGCAUUAGCCGUCGAAGGACCGCGCUCCGGUGUGAUAAUUGUUGGUUAUAUGCGCCGUGCACGUGUCUGGUGAAGGCUCACAGUCGUCCGCGAGGACACAUAACUAAAGCUCUGGCCUCAAAUCAGGUGGGACUACCCGCUGAACUUAA
RNAcentral lists this unclassified non-coding RNA (280 nucleotides) under uncultured fungus. Its description in RNAcentral is "partial contains 5.8S ribosomal RNA, internal transcribed spacer 2, and large subunit ribosomal RNA". Lineage: Eukaryota; Fungi. The record is from RNAcentral.